AGCACCCCGUGUGUUGGCUCCACUGACACCCAGCAGCCCACCUCCUGAGGUUGAUCCUCCACUGACAUCAUCAUCACCACCACCACAUCAUGGCAGCACGAGGACAAGUUCAGGGUGGUCGUGGCUACUGCUACAAGAGCAACACAGAAGUGAAGUACAAACCACACCUGUCAUACACGUAUGUGGGGUUUCCAAAAGAUCACAUCCUUCGGAAAGCUGAGGGAGGUAAGUUAUCCAAGUUGGAAUGAAUGUAGAAACUUGCCAAGUUGCUAGUAAAUUGGAAAAUUUUGAUUGCAGCUAAUUCAAGUAUUUGAAUGAGUUAAGACAUAAAUAAGUGUUAUGAUAAAGUACUUGUACUGAAGAAAUGCUAUGUUUGGACACAUGACAAUGGGUGAAAACAGAUAAAUUCAGGUCCAGGAAGAAUUAAAUAAGCUGGUGCAUAGAUAGGGUAGUAGAUGAGUGGAAAAAAUUAGCACACAUACAACUUAUGAAAAUAUAACAUAAUUUCAUCUGGAGGUUAGAUGCUUUGCGAAU
This is a long non-coding RNA of Eriocheir sinensis (Chinese mitten crab), 534 nucleotides long. RefSeq lists it as uncharacterized. The record is from RefSeq and is a predicted model, not a curated record. The transcript is spliced from 3 exons. Lineage: Eukaryota; Metazoa; Arthropoda; Malacostraca; Decapoda; Varunidae.